Molecule: ribosomal RNA, 347 nt
Filed under: uncultured bacterium
Lineage: Bacteria
Description: bacterial SSU rRNA
Rfam family: Bacterial small subunit ribosomal RNA
Source: RNAcentral
UCCUUGGGUGGGGGACAACCGUGGGAAACUACGGCUAAUACCGCAUGAUGCCUGAGGGCCAAAGACGAAAGUCGUUUGAGGAGGAGCCUGCGUCUGAUUAGGUAGUUGGUGGGGUAAAGGCCUACCAAGCCCUACGAUCAGUAGCUGGUCUGAGAGGAUGAUCAGCCACAUUGGGACUGAGACACGGCCCAAACUCCUACGGGAGGCAGCAGUGGGGAAUAUUGGACAAUGGGCGCAAGCCUGAUCCAGCAAUGCCGCGUGGGUGAAGAAGGUCUUCGGAUUGUAAAGCCCUUUUGGCGGGGACGAUGAUGACGGUACCCGCAGAAUAAGCUCCGGCUAACUUCGUG